Molecule: transfer RNA, 73 nt
Filed under: Lacticaseibacillus manihotivorans
Lineage: Bacteria; Bacillati; Bacillota; Bacilli; Lactobacillales; Lactobacillaceae
Also listed under: 1 other name
Description: Lactobacillus manihotivorans tRNA-Ala
Rfam family: tRNA
About the family: Transfer RNA (tRNA) molecules are approximately 80 nucleotides in length. Their secondary structure includes four short double-helical elements and three loops (D, anti-codon, and T loops).
Source: RNAcentral
GGGUCCGUAGCUCAGUUGGGAGAGCGCUGCCUUCGCAUGGCAGAGGUCGCGCGUUCGAAUCGCGUCGGAUCCA